CCUUUACCAGCAUAUGAACGGGGUUGGCAGCGGCUCCUGAAUUUCUGCAUAUAGAGCGUAAUUAACAGCUGGUGUUCAGUUGUUCACUUUACCACAGUAUUCUCUAACCUGGUGCCCUCCAGAUAUGUUGGACUGCAGCUCUUAUAAAUCCUGGCCAGCGUGGCUUCUGGAAGAGGGGAUCACAGCAAGAAUAAAUGUAAGUGGUGGAGAUACAGAGAGAAGGAGGACCAUUCACAGCUUGAUUAUUUGGAAUCCAGAAGGAGCAAGCAAGUUCUCCAAUUUAUUUUUAUGUACAAUGUUGGAAAUAUGUGUGCAUAGUAAUGACACUUCCAGAUGGACAGUUUUAUGUGCAAAAUUGGUACAUUUC
This is a long non-coding RNA of Varanus komodoensis (Komodo dragon), 367 nucleotides long. RefSeq lists it as uncharacterized. NCBI's taxonomy places the organism in Eukaryota, Metazoa, Chordata, Lepidosauria, Squamata, Varanidae. The record is from RefSeq and is a predicted model, not a curated record. The transcript has 3 exons.